AGAGAUAACUUUAAUAUUGAGCUUCUAACUCAACUAAUAAUAGUAAAAAACUAUUUUAUCUUUA
This 64-nucleotide transfer RNA is filed under the name Pseudomyrmex dendroicus. RNAcentral's name for it is "tRNA-Ser". The record is from RNAcentral. Lineage: Eukaryota; Metazoa; Arthropoda; Insecta; Hymenoptera; Formicidae.